RNAcentral lists this ribosomal RNA (180 nucleotides) under uncultured bacterium. Its description in RNAcentral is "partial 16S ribosomal RNA". It matches the Rfam family "Bacterial small subunit ribosomal RNA", at positions 338 to 510 of the family's 1533-position model. The record is from RNAcentral.
CCUACGGGAGGCAGCAGUAGGGAAUUUUCGGCAAUGGGGGAAACCCUGACCGAGCAACGCCGCGUGAGCGAAGAAGGCCUUCGGGUCGUAAAGCUCUGUUGUAAAGGAAGAACGGCGCAUACAGGAAAUGGUAUGCGAGUGACGGUACUUUACCAGAAAGCCACGGCUAACUACGUGCCA